RNAcentral lists this ribosomal RNA (391 nucleotides) under uncultured bacterium. RNAcentral's name for it is "bacterial SSU rRNA". It matches the Rfam family "Bacterial small subunit ribosomal RNA", at positions 29 to 418 of the family's 1533-position model. The record is from RNAcentral.
AGCGAACGUUUGCGGCGGGCUUAACACAUGCAAGUCGAACGAGAAUCCCUUCGGGGAGGAAAGUGGCGCACGGGUGCGUAACACGUGGAUAACCAACCCAUUGGUUUGGGACAACACCGGGAAACUGGUGCUAAUACCAGAUGUGUCGCAGCUGUCUUCAGGCGGUUGCGAGAAAGGCCCGCAAGGGUCGCCAACGGACGGGUCCGCGUCCCAUCAGCUAGUUGGUGAGGUAAUGGCUCACCAAGGCAAAGACGGGUAGCUGGUCUGAGAGGAUGAUCAGCCACACUGGAACUGAGACACGGUCCAGACUCCUACGGGAGGCAGCAGUGGGGAAUCUUGCGCAAUGGGCGAAAGCCUGACGCAGCGACGCCGCGUGGGUGACGAAGGCCUC